RNAcentral lists this ribosomal RNA (465 nucleotides) under Vreelandella stevensii. RNAcentral describes it as "partial 16S ribosomal RNA". It matches the Rfam family "Bacterial small subunit ribosomal RNA", at positions 338 to 795 of the family's 1533-position model. Lineage: Bacteria; Pseudomonadati; Pseudomonadota; Gammaproteobacteria; Oceanospirillales; Halomonadaceae. The record is from RNAcentral.
CCUACGGGAGGCAGCAGUGGGGAAUAUUGGACGAUGGGCGAAAGCCUGAUCCAGCCAUGCCGCGUGUGUGAAGAAGGCCUUCGGGUUGUAAAGCACUUUCAGUGGGGAAGAAAGCCUUGGGGCUAAUACCCUCGAGGAAGGACAUCACCCACAGAAGAAGCACCGGCUAACUCCGUGCCAGCAGCCGCGGUAAUACGGAGGGUGCGAGCGUUAAUCGGAAUUACUGGGCGUAAAGCGCGCGUAGGCGGUCUGAUAAGCCGGUUGUGAAAGCCCCGGGCUCAACCUGGGAACGGCAUCCGGAACUGUCAGGCUAGAGUGCAGGAGAGGAAGGUAGAAUUCCCGGUGUAGCGGUGAAAUGCGUAGAGAUCGGGAGGAAUACCAGUGGCGAAGGCGGCCUUCUGGACUGACACUGACGCUGAGGUGCGAAAGCGUGGGUAGCAAACAGGAUUAGAUACCCUAGUAGUC